This 388-nucleotide ribosomal RNA is filed under the name uncultured bacterium. RNAcentral's name for it is "bacterial SSU rRNA". It matches the Rfam family "Bacterial small subunit ribosomal RNA", at positions 28 to 417 of the family's 1533-position model. The record is from RNAcentral.
GACGAACGCUGGCGGCGCGCCUAACACAUGCAAGUCGAGCGGUAAGGCCCUUUCGGGGGUACACGAGCGGCGAACGGGUGAGUAACACGUGGGUGACCUGCCCUCAGCUCUGGGAUAAGCCUGGGAAACCGGGUCUAAUACCGGAUAUGACUCCAUGACGCAUGUUGUGGGGUGGAAAGCCUUGUGCGGCUGAGGAUGGGCCCGCGGCCUAUCAGCUUGUUGGUGGGGUGAUGGCCUACCAAGGCGACGACGGGUAGCCGGCCUGAGAGGGCGACCGGCCACACUGGGACUGAGACACGGCCCAGACUCCUACGGGAGGCAGCAGUGGGGAAUCUUGCGCAAUGGGCGAAAGCCUGACGCAGCGACGCCGCGUGAGGGAUGACGGCCU